AUGAACGCUGGCGGCGUGCCUAAUACCUGCAAGUCGAGCGAACAGACGAGGAGCUUGCUCCUCUGACGUUAGCGGCGGACGGGUGAGUAACACGUGGAUAACCUACCUAUAAGACUGGGAUAACUUCGGGAAACCGGAGCUAAUACCGGAUAAUAUAUUGAACCGCAUGGUUCAAUAGUGAAAGACGGUUUUGCUGUCACUUACAGAUGGAUCCGCGCCGCAUUAGCUAGUUGGUAAGGUAACGGCUUACCAAGGCGACGAUGCGUAGCCGACCUGAGAGGGUGAUCGGCCACACUGGAACUGAGACACGGUCCAGACUCCUACGGGAGGCAGCAGUAGGGAAUCUUCCGCAAUGGGCGAAAGCCUGACGGAGCAACGCCGCGUGAGUGAUGAAGGUCUUCGGAUCGUAAAACUCUGUUAUUAGGGAAGAACAAAUGUGUAAGUAACUAUGCACGUCUUGACGGUACCUAAUCAGAAAGCCACGGCUAACUACGUG
This 496-nucleotide ribosomal RNA is filed under the name uncultured bacterium. RNAcentral's name for it is "partial 16S ribosomal RNA". It matches the Rfam family "Bacterial small subunit ribosomal RNA", at positions 29 to 507 of the family's 1533-position model. The record is from RNAcentral.